This 270-nucleotide unclassified non-coding RNA is filed under the name Hevea brasiliensis (rubber tree). Lineage: Eukaryota; Viridiplantae; Streptophyta; Magnoliopsida; Malpighiales; Euphorbiaceae. The record is from RNAcentral.
UAUAGCUCUUAUUGGCCAUUUUUAAAUUGCUGGAAAUGUUGACACUUUGCAUUACAGAAUACUUUGGAGUGAGCACGUUCCAGCGAAAAUGAUGAGGCUUGUAACAAUUUUUGUAUGGUUGGCUGGGUGGAUUUCAGUGGUGGCAGUGACGGACAGUUAUAGCUUUGCAGUGUAGGGGUUUAGAAAUAGAGAUUUUGGAGCUUGGUUGGCUAUUAAGGACAUGCUCUAAGGGCUAGAUGCAUAUUAUUUUUGGAGGCAAGGAUUAGGUUG